RNAcentral lists this long non-coding RNA (218 nucleotides) under Lathyrus oleraceus (garden pea). RNAcentral describes it as "Pisum sativum (pea) long non-coding RNA (PSAT_LNC002813)". The record is from RNAcentral. Lineage: Eukaryota; Viridiplantae; Streptophyta; Magnoliopsida; Fabales; Fabaceae.
CAUAGGUUUGAGUUAUCAUAGUGGUUGAUGUAAAUCUCACCUCAUCCUUAGUGUUGGAUUAUAAGCCUUCCAUGCUUAUUAUAGGGUUAACCCCUCACUAGCAUGCUGAAGCCUUCCUCACAUGGUGGAUUGUUGGUUUAGGUUGAGUUCUCCCCCUUUGAUAACAAAAGACCUUAAGGCUUUCGAUUAAAAUCAAUUCACCAAUCUUUGAAAUUUUU